UGGGGAAUCUUGCACAAUGGGGGCAACCCUGAUGCAGCGACGCCGCGUGAGCGAUGAAGCCCUUCGGGGCGUAAAGCUCUUUCGACCGGAACGAUAAUGACGGUACCGGGAGAAGAAGCUGCGGCUAACUACGUGCCAGCAGCCGCGGUAAUACGUAGGCAGCAAGCGUUGUUCGGAGUUACUGGGCGUAAGGAGUGCGUAGGCGGUUUUCUAAGUUCGGUGUGAAAUCUCCCGGCUUAACUGGGAGGGUGCGCCGAAGACUGGGAAGCUGGAGUGUGGGAAAGGCAGGCGGAAUUCCUGGUGUAGCGGUGAAAUGCGUAGAUAUCAGGAGGAACACCGGUGGUGUAGACGGCUUGCUAGACCAUAACUGACGCUGAGGCACGAAAGCGUGGGUAGCAAACA
This 402-nucleotide ribosomal RNA is filed under the name uncultured bacterium. RNAcentral's name for it is "bacterial SSU rRNA". It matches the Rfam family "Bacterial small subunit ribosomal RNA", at positions 355 to 774 of the family's 1533-position model. The record is from RNAcentral.